Molecule: ribosomal RNA, 1056 nt
Filed under: Salmonella enterica subsp. enterica serovar Agona str. 54.O.08
Lineage: Bacteria; Pseudomonadati; Pseudomonadota; Gammaproteobacteria; Enterobacterales; Enterobacteriaceae
Description: bacterial LSU rRNA
Rfam family: Bacterial large subunit ribosomal RNA
Source: RNAcentral
GUUGGGUAGGGGAGCGUUCUGUAAGCCUGCGAAGGUGGCCUGUGAGGGUUGCUGGAGGUAUCAGAAGUGCGAAUGCUGACAUAAGUAACGAUAAAGCGGGUGAAAAGCCCGCUCGCCGGAAGACCAAGGGUUCCUGUCCAACGUUAAUCGGGGCAGGGUGAGUCGACCCCUAAGGCGAGGCCGAAAGGCGUAGUCGAUGGGAAACGGGUUAAUAUUCCCGUACUUGGUGUUACUGCGAAGGGGGGACGGAGAAGGCUAUGUUGGCCGGGCGACGGUUGUCCCGGUUUAAGCGUGUAGGUGUGUGUUCCAGGUAAAUCCGGUUCACUUUAACACUGAGGCGUGACGACGAGGCACUACGGUGCUGAAGCAACAAAUGCCCUGCUUCCAGGAAAAGCCUCUAAGCAUCAGGUAACAUCAAAUCGUACCCCAAACCGACACAGGUGGUCAGGUAGAGAAUACCAAGGCGCUUGAGAGAACUCGGGUGAAGGAACUAGGCAAAAUGGUGCCGUAACUUCGGGAGAAGGCACGCUGACACGUAGGUGAAGUGAUUUACUCAUGGAGCUGAAGUCAGUCGAAGAUACCAGCUGGCUGCAACUGUUUAUUAAAAACACAGCACUGUGCAAACACGAAAGUGGACGUAUACGGUGUGACGCCUGCCCGGUGCCGGAAGGUUAAUUGAUGGGGUCAGCGCAAGCGAAGCUCCUGAUCGAAGCCCCGGUAAACGGCGGCCGUAACUAUAACGGUCCUAAGGUAGCGAAAUUCCUUGUCGGGUAAGUUCCGACCUGCACGAAUGGCGUAAUGAUGGCCAGGCUGUCUCCACCCGAGACUCAGUGAAAUUGAACUCGCUGUGAAGAUGCAGUGUACCCGCGGCAAGACGGAAAGACCCCGUGAACCUUUACUAUAGCUUGACACUGAACAUUGAGCCUUGAUGUGUAGGAUAGGUGGGAGGCUUUGAAGUGUGGACGCCAGUCUGCAUGGAGCCGACCUUGAAAUACCACCCUUUAAUGUUUGAUGUUCUAACGUGGACCCGUAAUCCGGGUUGCGGACAGUGUCUGG